RNAcentral lists this transfer RNA (103 nucleotides) under Trametes sanguinea. RNAcentral's name for it is "tRNA-Met". It matches the Rfam family "tRNA". Rfam says of the family: Transfer RNA (tRNA) molecules are approximately 80 nucleotides in length. Lineage: Eukaryota; Fungi; Basidiomycota; Agaricomycetes; Polyporales; Polyporaceae. The record is from RNAcentral.
GCCUGGAUGGCUCAGUUGGUUAGAGCGCAGGUCUCAUACGAUUAGUAUGACCACCCACCGGUGGGCAAUCCUGAGGUCGUGAGUUCGAUCCUCACUCCGGGCA